CUUAUAAUUGAAAUCCUAUUUUUAUUAAACAUUAGAAAGUACCAGACCUUAUGUGUAUCUUGUAAGACGUAGAAAACCUUCACAGAAAUAUAAUAUUGGACCACUAAACCUCUUCGAAAAAAUAAAACCUCAGCCUUGCUUUUUCGUAACCCACCAUUGGUAUCCCCCCUCCAUAAUUGUUGGACUUCUUGAGCCAAACUCCCUAACUCCCUUGUUUGAAAAAAU
This 225-nucleotide long non-coding RNA is filed under the name Brassica napus (rape). RNAcentral's name for it is "long non-coding RNA (BNAP_LNC010138)". The record is from RNAcentral. Lineage: Eukaryota; Viridiplantae; Streptophyta; Magnoliopsida; Brassicales; Brassicaceae.